CCUACGGGGAGCAGCAGUGAGGAAUAUUGGUCAAUGGACGAGAGUCUGAACCAGCCAAGUAGCGUGAAGGAUGACUGCCCUAUGGGUUGUAAACUUCUUUUAUAAAGGAAUAAAACGAGGCACGUGUGCCUUUUUGCAUGUACUUUAUGAAUAAGGAUCGGCGAACUCCGUGCCAGCAGCCGCGGUAAUACGGAGGAUCCGAGCGUUAUCCGGAUUUAUUGGGUUUAAAGGGAGCGUAGAUGGGUUGUUAAGUCAGUUGUAAAAGUUUGCGGCUCAACCGUAAAAUUGCAAUUGAUACUGGCAGUCUUGAGUACAGUUGAGGUAGGCGGAAUUCGUGGUGUAGAGGUGAAAUGCUUAGAUAUCACGAAGAACCCCGAUUGCGAAGGCAGCUUACUAAACUGUGACUGACAUUGAUGCUCGAAAGUGUGGGUAUCAAACAGGAUUAGAUACCCCAGUAGUC
Molecule: ribosomal RNA, 460 nt
Filed under: uncultured bacterium
Lineage: Bacteria
Description: partial 16S ribosomal RNA
Rfam family: Bacterial small subunit ribosomal RNA
Source: RNAcentral